AAUAGAUACCCAGGUAGUCCUGGCCCUAAACGAUGUCCACUAGAUCGCGGCGCGGUUUGACCCGCCCGCGGUCGGAGCAAAAGUGUUAAGUGGACCGCCUGGGAAGUACGGUCGCAAGGCUAAAACUCAAAGGAAUUGACGGGGGCUCACACAAGCGGUGGAGCAUGUGGUUCAAUUCGAAGCAACGCGCAGAACCUUACCUGGGCUUGACAUGCUUGGAUUAUCCCGGUGAAAGCCGGGUAGGCCCCGCAAGGGGUACAACAAGUACAGGUGCUGCAUGGCUGUCGUCAGCUCGUGUCGUGAGAUGUCGGGUUAAGUCCCUUAACGAGCGAAACCUUUACCCUUAGUUACCAGCGGGUUAUGCCGGGGACUCUAAGGGGACCGCCGGUGUCAAACCGGAGGAAGGUGGAGAUGACGUCAAGUCCUCAUGGCCUUUAUGCCCAGGGCCACACACGUGCUACAAUGGCGCGCACAAAGCGACCCUAAACCGCGAGGUCAUGGAAAUCGCAGAAAUCGCGCCCCAGUUCAGAUCGGAGGCUGCAACUCGCCUCCGUG
RNAcentral lists this ribosomal RNA (555 nucleotides) under uncultured bacterium. RNAcentral describes it as "bacterial SSU rRNA". It matches the Rfam family "Bacterial small subunit ribosomal RNA", at positions 777 to 1322 of the family's 1533-position model. The record is from RNAcentral.